This 253-nucleotide ribosomal RNA is filed under the name uncultured bacterium. Its description in RNAcentral is "partial 16S ribosomal RNA". It matches the Rfam family "Bacterial small subunit ribosomal RNA", at positions 524 to 776 of the family's 1533-position model. The record is from RNAcentral.
UACGAAGGUGGCGAAUGUUGUUCGGAUUUACUGGGCGUAAAGCGUCCGCAGGUGGUUUAUUAAGUCAGGUGUGAAAGCCCCGCGCUCAACGUGGGAACUGCACUUGAAACUGGUAAACUAGAAGGCGAGAGAGGUGGGCGGAAUUACUGGUGUAGCAGUGAAAUGCGUAGAUAUCAGUAGGAACACCCAUGGCGAAGGCAGCUCACUGGCUCGCCCUUGACACUCAUGGACGAAAGCGUGGGGAGCAAACAGG